AGAGUUUGAUCCUGGCUCAGGAUGAACGCUGGCGGCGUGCCUAAUACAUGCAAGUCGAGCGAACGGACGAGAAGCUUGCUUCUCUGAUGUUAGCGGCGGACGGGUGAGUAACACGUGGAUAACCUACCUAUAAGACUGGGAUAACUUCGGGAAACCGGAGCUAAUACCGGAUAAUAUUUUGAACCGCAUGGUUCAAAAGUGAAAGACGGUCUUGCUGUCACUUAUAGAUGGAUCCGCGCUGCAUUAGCUAGUUGGUAAGGUAACGGCUUACCAAGGCAACGAUGCAUAGCCGACCUGAGAGGGUGAUCGGCCACACUGGAACUGAGACACGGUCCAGACUCCUACGGGAGGCAGCAGUAGGGAAUCUUCCGCAAUGGGCGAAAGCCUGACGGAGCAACGCCGCGUGAGUGAUGAAGAUCUUCGGAUCGUAAAACUCUGUUAUUAGGGAAGAACAUAUGUGUAAGUAACUGUGCACAUCUUGACGGUACCUAAUCAGAAAGCCACGGCUAACUACGUGCCAGCAGCCGCGGUAAUACGUAGGUGGCAAGCGUUAUCCGGAAUUAUUGGGCGUAAAGCGCGCGUAGGCGGUUUUUUAAGUCUGAUGUGAAAGCCCACGGCUCAACCGUGGAGGGUCAUUGGAAACUGGAAAACUUGAGUGCAGAAGAGGAAAGUGGAAUUCCAUGUGUAGCGGUGAAAUGCGCAGAGAUAUGGAGGAACACCAGUGGCGAAGGCGACUUUCUGGUCUGUAACUGACGCUGAUGUGCGAAAGCGUGGGGAUCAAACAGGAUUAGAUACCCUGGUAGUCCACGCCGUAAACGAUGAGUGCUAAGUGUUAGGGGGUUUCCGCCCCUUAGUGCUGCAGCUAACGCAUUAAGCACUCCGCCUGGGGAGUACGACCGCAAGGUUGAAACUCAAAGGAAUUGACGGGGACCCGCACAAGCGGUGGAGCAUGUGGUUUAAUUCGAAGCAACGCGAAGAACCUUACCAAAUCUUGACAUCCUUUGACAACUCUAGAGAUAGAGCCUUCCCCUUCGGGGGACAAAGUGACAGGUGGUGCAUGGUUGUCGUCAGCUCGUGUCGUGAGAUGUUGGGUUAAGUCCCGCAACGAGCGCAACCCUUAAGCUUAGUUGCCAUCAUUAAGUUGGGCACUCUAAGUUGACUGCCGGUGACAAACCGGAGGAAGGUGGGGAUGACGUCAAAUCAUCAUGCCCCUUAUGAUUUGGGCUACACACGUGCUACAAUGGACAAUACAAAGGGCAGCGAAACCGCGAGGUCAAGCAAAUCCCAUAAAGUUGUUCUCAGUUCGGAUUGUAGUCUGCAACUCGACUACAUGAAGCUGGAAUCGCUAGUAAUCGUAGAUCAGCAUGCUACGGUGAAUACGUUCCCGGGUCUUGUACACACCGCCCGUCACACCACGAGAGUUUGUAACACCCGAAGCCGGUGGAGUAACCUUUUAGGAGCUAGCCGUCGAAGGUGGGACAAAUGAUUGGGGUGAAGUCGUAACAAGGUAGCCGUAUCGGAAGGUGCGGCUGGAUCACCU
Molecule: ribosomal RNA, 1540 nt
Filed under: Staphylococcus aureus
Lineage: Bacteria; Bacillati; Bacillota; Bacilli; Caryophanales; Staphylococcaceae
Description: 16S ribosomal RNA
Rfam family: Bacterial small subunit ribosomal RNA
Source: RNAcentral